This is a long non-coding RNA of Papaver somniferum (opium poppy), 92 nucleotides long. RefSeq lists it as uncharacterized. The transcript has 3 exons. The record is from RefSeq and is a predicted model, not a curated record. Lineage: Eukaryota; Viridiplantae; Streptophyta; Magnoliopsida; Ranunculales; Papaveraceae.
CUUCUCCGUCCGCACUCCGCAGCCUACAAUGAAAUCCUUGGGAAAGGUGCUUCAAAGACAGUGUAUAAAGGGUUUGAUGAGUAUGAAGGGAU